Molecule: non-coding RNA, 54 nt
Submitted as: unclassified sequences
Source: Rfam
AUCGUUCAACUCACUAAGAGUCGGAAGUACCCAUUAUAGGGGAAGGAACGCACU